GUCCCCGGCCCCGCCCCCGGCACGGACGAUGUGUUCUGUCUCUUCCGGUUUGUCGGUGAUCCAUCAGUGCGGCCUCAUUGAUGUUCCCCAUAUUAUUCCACUCGGUUGGGUCACGCCACAAGAGUUUUUGUGCUGUCCCAAACCGCAAUGUGACUUUGAAAAUACAUCGUCCUAACUAGGUGCCCAAAACUGGAAUUUAAGCCAGGCUCCAAUCUUGCCCACGUGUUCCACUUCUCACCACUGGGUGACGCUGCUGCACCAGCCAGGCGCCUCCAUUUUGACGAACCCGUCUGAACCUGCUCCCACCCGCUGGAGGACCAGUUGCAAAGCAGCCAGCAAAAGUUAUCCGUUUUUCUUUGCGUCAAGUGGAGCAUACGGAAAAUGGAUGCGCCACCCCCGCUUCUUGUGCUGCUGGUCGAUUUCCUCCCGACUUUGCGGAGUCACGCCAGCGAGGGGACUUGGCCUUCACUCGUCACCUGUGGUGGCCUCCUGCAAGUACCUUUUUCUUUUUUUUUCUCUUUCUCUCUCUCUAUUCAGGAGGCGGGGCAACCCUCGCUCCGUUUCUUUUUUUUUCCUCUUCUGACCUUCAGGGUGCACCCUUCCUCCUCAUCAAUCCAACCUCUUCUUCCUCUCGCAAGUGAGAGAGGAAAGGUGGAAGUAAGCAGAGCCAAAAUGGUCUGCUGCUCAUUU
Molecule: long non-coding RNA, 690 nt
Organism: Hippocampus zosterae (dwarf seahorse)
Lineage: Eukaryota; Metazoa; Chordata; Actinopteri; Syngnathiformes; Syngnathidae
Exons: 3
Source: RefSeq, a predicted model, not a curated record